RNAcentral lists this ribosomal RNA (497 nucleotides) under uncultured bacterium. RNAcentral's name for it is "partial 16S ribosomal RNA". It matches the Rfam family "Bacterial small subunit ribosomal RNA", at positions 28 to 507 of the family's 1533-position model. The record is from RNAcentral.
GAUGAACGCUGGCGGCGUGCCUAAUACAUGCAAGUCGAGCGAACGGACGAGAAGCUUGCUUCUCUGAUGUUAGCGGCGGACGGGUGAGUAACACGUGGAUAACCUACCUAUCAGACUGGGAUAACUUCGUGAAACCGGAGCUAAUACCGGAUAAUAUUUUGAACCGCAUUGUUCAAAAGUGAAAGACGGUUUUGCUGUCACUUAUAGAUGGAUCCGCGCUGCAUUAGCUAGUUGUUAAGGUAACGGCUUACCAAGGCAACGAUGCAUAGCCGACCUGUGAGGGUGAUCGGCCACACUGGAACUGAGACACGGUCCAGACUCCUACGGGAGGCAGCAGUAGGGAAUCUUCCGCAAUGGGCGAAAGCCUGACGGAGCAACGCCGCGUGCGUGAUGAAGGUCUUCGGAUCGUAAAACUCUGUUAUGAGGGAAGAACAUAUGUGUAAGUAACUGUGCACAUCUUGACGGUACCUAAUCAGAAAGCCACGGCUAACUACGUG